AGCCUUAAGUAUCCAUGCUGACAUUUCAUCACACACCAGACCACAAAGGUUGAUGAGAAUCCCAAGAUAAGUGAAGCG
This 78-nucleotide microRNA precursor is filed under the name Schistosoma margrebowiei. RNAcentral describes it as "mir-3492 microRNA precursor family". It matches the Rfam family "mir-3492 microRNA precursor family". The record is from Rfam by way of RNAcentral. Lineage: Eukaryota; Metazoa; Platyhelminthes; Trematoda; Strigeidida; Schistosomatidae.